GACGAACGCUGGCGGCGUGCCUAAUACAUGCAAGUAGAACGCUGAAGGAGGAGCUUGCUCUUCUGGAUGAGUUGCGAACGGGUGAGUAACGCGUAGGUAACCUGCCUGGUAGCGGGGGAUAACUAUUGGAAACGAUAGCUAAUACCGCAUAACAGUAGAUGUUGCAUGACAUUUGCUUAAAAGGUGCAAUUGCAUCACUACCAGAUGGACCUGCGUUGUAUUAGCUAGUUGGUGGGGUAACGGCUCACCAAGGCAACGAUACAUAGCCGACCUGAGAGGGUGAUCGGCCACACUGGGACUGAGACACGGCCCAGACUCCUACGGGAGGCAGCAGUAGGGAAUCUUCGGCAAUGGGCGGAAGUCUGACCGAGCAACGCCGCGUGAGUGAAGAAGGUUUUCGGAUCGUAAAGCUCUGUUGUAAGAGAAGAACGAGUGUGAGAGUGGAAAGUUCACACUGUGACGGUAUCUUACCAGAAAGGGACGGCUAACUACGUG
This 495-nucleotide ribosomal RNA is filed under the name uncultured bacterium. RNAcentral's name for it is "partial 16S ribosomal RNA". It matches the Rfam family "Bacterial small subunit ribosomal RNA", at positions 28 to 507 of the family's 1533-position model. The record is from RNAcentral.